GACGUGGGGGAACUGAUCCGCAAUGCCGCGUGAGUGAAGAAGGCCUUCGGGUUGUAAAGCUCUUUUGUCAGGGAAGAAACACCGGCUCUAACACAGUCCGGGAAUGACGGUACCUGAAGAAUAAGCACCGGCUAACUACGUGCCAGCAGCCGCGGUAAUACGUAGGGUGCGAGCGUUAAUCGGAAUUACUGGGCGUAAAGCGUGCGCAGGCGGUUAUACAAGACAGGCGUGAAAUCCCCGGGCUUAGCCUGGGAAUGGCGCCUGUGACUGUAUAGCUAGAGUGUGUCAGAGGGGGGUAGAAUUCCACGUGUAGCAGUGAAAUGCGUAGAUAUGUGGAGGAAUACCAAUGGCGAAGGCAGCCCCCUGGGAUAACACUGACGCUCAUGCACGAAA
This 393-nucleotide ribosomal RNA is filed under the name uncultured bacterium. RNAcentral describes it as "bacterial SSU rRNA". It matches the Rfam family "Bacterial small subunit ribosomal RNA", at positions 367 to 758 of the family's 1533-position model. The record is from RNAcentral.